Oncorhynchus gorbuscha (pink salmon) is the source of this 1068-nucleotide long non-coding RNA. RefSeq lists it as uncharacterized. Lineage: Eukaryota; Metazoa; Chordata; Actinopteri; Salmoniformes; Salmonidae. The transcript is spliced from 4 exons. The record is from RefSeq and is a predicted model, not a curated record.
CUCAGAACGUUGUCAGGUGCCCCUGUCCCUCAGAACGUUGUCAGGUGCCCCUGUCCCUCAGAACGUUGUCAGGUGCCCCUGUCCCUCAGAACGUUGUCAGGUGCCCCUGUCCCUCAGAACGUUGUCAGGUUGUCCUGAACGUCAGAGCCUAAAUUCAUGGUGUUUCAGUAGGAGAGCUGGUCGAGGUUGUAAUGAAGAACAGGAGGUUUGGACUGCUUCUAGAUCAGAUAUGCUUUCUGAACUCAGUCCCCUCUACCCUCAGUCCCCUCAGACAGACUAGGACCUGCCCUGAACAAGGUUCUCUACCCUCAGACAGACUAGGACCUGCCCUGGACAAGGUUCUCUACCCUCAGACAGAAUAGGACCUGCCCUGAACAAGGUUCUCUACCCUCAGACAGACUAGGACCUGCCCUGAACAAGGUUCUCUACCCUCAGACAGAAUAGGACCUGCCCUGAACAAGGUUCUCUACCCUCAGACAGACUAGGACCUGCCCUGAACAAGGUUCUCUACCCUCAGACAGACUAGGACCUGCCCUGAACAAGGUUCUCUACCCUCAGACAGACUAGGACCUGCCCUGAACAAGGUUCUCUACCCUCAGACAGACUAGGACCUGCCCUGAACAAGGUUCUCUACCCUCAGACAGACUAGGACCUGCCCUGAACAAGGUUCUCUACCCUCAAGACAGACUAGGACCUGCCCUGAACAAGGUUCUCUACCCUCAGACAGACUAGGACCUGCCCUGAACAAGGUUCUCUACCCUCAGACAGAAUAGGACCUGCCCUGAACAAGGUUCUCUACCCUCAGACAGACUAGGACCUGCCCUGAACAAGGUUCUCUACCCUCAGACAGACUAGGACCUGCCCUGAACAAGGUUCUCUACCCUCAGUCCCCUCAGACAGAAUAGGACCUGCCCUGAACAAGGUUAUUUUUGUGACUGAGUGAUGUCAUCCACUCUGCCCUCAACAGCAGAACUCUGGACCAGACUGACCAGCGAAGUGUUGGUCGUUACGACAACGUCACUUCCAGAAGGAAUUAACGACUUUUAAUAGUGGAUCAAAAUGUAAAUA